UACGGAGGAUGCGAGCGUUAUCCGGAUUUAUUGGGUUUAAAGGGUGCGUAGGCGGACGCUUAAGUCAGCGGUAAAAUUGCGGGGCUCAACCUCGUCGAGCCGUUGAAACUGGGUGCCUUGAGUGGGCGAGAAGUAUGCGGAAUGCGUGGUGUAGCGGUGAAAUGCAUAGAUAUCACGCAGAACUCCGAUUGCGAAGGCAGCAUACCGGCGCCCUACUGACGCUGAGGCACGAAAGCGUGGGUAUCGAGCAGG
This 252-nucleotide ribosomal RNA is filed under the name uncultured bacterium. RNAcentral describes it as "partial 16S ribosomal RNA". It matches the Rfam family "Bacterial small subunit ribosomal RNA", at positions 524 to 776 of the family's 1533-position model. The record is from RNAcentral.